Molecule: ribosomal RNA, 565 nt
Filed under: uncultured Glomeromycotina
Lineage: Eukaryota; Fungi; Glomeromycota
Description: SSU rRNA
Rfam family: Eukaryotic small subunit ribosomal RNA
Source: RNAcentral
UUGGAGGGCAAGUCUGGUGCCAGCAGCCGCGGUAAUUCCAGCUCCAAUAGCGUAUAUUAAAGUUGUUGCAGUUAAAAAGCUCGUAGUUGAAUUUCGGGGUCAGUAGGUUGGUCAUGCCACUGGUAUGUACUGGUCUCACUGAUUCCUCCUUCCUGAUGAGCCGUAAUGCCAUUAAUUUGGUGUUGCGAGGAAUCUGGACUGUCACUUUGAAAAAAUUAGAGUGUUUAAAGCAGGCUAACGCUUGAAUACAUUAGCAUGGAAUAAUGAAAUAGGACGUUCGAUCUUAUUUUGUUGGUUUCUAAGAUUGACGUAAUGAUUAAUAGGGAUAGUUGGGGGCAUUAGUAUUCAAUUGUCAGAGGUGAAAUUCUUGGAUUUAUUGGAGACUAACUACUGCGAAAGCAUUUGCCAAGGAUGUUUUCAUUAAUCAAGAACGAAAGUUAGGGGAUCGAAGACGAUCAGAUACCGUCGUAGUCUUAACCAUAAACUAUGCCGACUAGGGAUCGGAUGAUGUUAAUUUUUUAAUGUCUCAUUCGGCGCCUUACGGGAAACCAAAGUGUUUGGGUUC